Molecule: transfer RNA, 74 nt
Filed under: Deltaproteobacteria bacterium
Lineage: Bacteria; Pseudomonadati; Myxococcota; Myxococcia
Also listed under: 1 other name
Description: tRNA-Gln
Rfam family: tRNA
About the family: Transfer RNA (tRNA) molecules are approximately 80 nucleotides in length. Their secondary structure includes four short double-helical elements and three loops (D, anti-codon, and T loops).
Source: RNAcentral
UGGGGGAUCGUCCAGGGGCAGGACAUGAGACUCUGGCUCUCACUACGGGGGUUCGAAUCCUCCUCCCCCAGCCA